Molecule: ribosomal RNA, 468 nt
Filed under: uncultured bacterium
Lineage: Bacteria
Description: partial 16S ribosomal RNA
Rfam family: Bacterial small subunit ribosomal RNA
Source: RNAcentral
GACGAACGCUGGCGGCGUGCUUAACACAUGCAAGUCGAACGGAAAGGCCCUGCUUUUGUGGGGUGCUCGAGUGGCGAACGGGUGAGUAACACGUGAGUAACCUGCCCUUGACUUUGGGAUAACUUCAGGAAACUGGGGCUAAUACCGGAUAGGAGCUCCUGCUGCAUGGUGGGGGUUGGAAAGUUUCGGCGGUUGGGGAUGGACUCGCGGCUUAUCAGCUUGUUGGUGGGGUAGUGGCUUACCAAGGCUUUGACGGGUAGCCGGCCUGAGAGGGUGACCGGCCACAUUGGGACUGAGAUACGGCCCAGACUCCUACGGGGGGCAGCAGUGUGGAAUAUUGCACAAUGGGCGGAAGCCUGAUGCAGCAACGCCGCGUGCGGGAUGACGGCCUUCGGGUUGUAAACCGCUUUCGCCUGUGACGAAGCGUGAGUGACGGUAAUGGGUAAAGAAGCACCGGCUAACUACGUG